UCCGCAGACAGGGCGGAUGAGGGGUUGGAAGAAGUCCCAACCCCUGUGACAUACCAAUUGUUGCCUCGGCGGAUCAGCCCGCUCCCGGUAAAACGGGACGGCCCGCCAGAGGACCCCUAAACUCUGUUUCUAUAUGUAACUUCUGAGUAAAACCAUAAAUAAAUCAAAACUUUCAACAACGGAUCUCUUGGUUCUGGCAUCGAUGAAGAACGCAGCAAAAUGCGAUAAGUAAUGUGAAUUGCAGAAUUCAGUGAAUCAUCGAAUCUUUGAACGCACAUUGCGCCCGCCAGUAUUCUGGCGGGCAUGCCUGUUCGAGCGUCAUUUCAACCCUCAAGCCCAGCUUGGUGUUGGGACUCGCGAGUCAAAUCGCGUUCCCCAAAUUGAUUGGCGGUCACGUCGAGCUUCCAUAGCGUAGUAGUAAAACCCUCGUUACUGGUAAUCGUCGCGGCCACGCCGUUAAACCCCAACUUCUGAAUGUUGACCUCGGAUCAGGUAGGAAUACCCGCUGAACUUAAGCAUAUCAAUAAGCGGAGGA
This 535-nucleotide ribosomal RNA is filed under the name Fusarium sp. Fs238TNPB1-TR. RNAcentral's name for it is "eukaryotic LSU rRNA". The stretch from base 168 to 321 matches the Rfam family "5.8S ribosomal RNA". Lineage: Eukaryota; Fungi; Ascomycota; Sordariomycetes; Hypocreales; Nectriaceae. The record is from RNAcentral.